GAUGAACGCUGGCGGCGUGCCUAAUACAUGCAAGUCGAGCGAACAGACGAGGAGCUUGCUCCUCUGACGUUAGCGGCGGACGGGUGAGUAACACGUGGAUAACCUACCUAUAAGACUGGGAUAACUUCGGGAAACCGGAGCUAAUACCGGAUAAUAUAUUGAACCGCAUGGUUCAAUAGUGAAAGACGGUUUUGCUGUCACUUAUAGAUGGAUCCGCGCCGCAUUAGCUAGUUUGUAAGGUAACGGCUUACCAAGGCAACGAUGCGUAGCCGACCUGAGAGGGUGAUCGGCCACACUGGAACUGAAACACGGUCCAGACUCCUACGGGAGGCAGCAGUAGGGAAUCUUCCGCAAUGGGCGAAAGCCUGACGGAGCAACGCCGCGUGAGUGAUGAAGGUCUUCGGAUCGUAAAACUCUGUUAUUAGGGAAGAACAAAUGUGUAAGUAACUAUGCACGUCUUGACGGUACCUAAUCAGAAAGCCACGGCUAACUACGUG
This 497-nucleotide ribosomal RNA is filed under the name uncultured bacterium. Its description in RNAcentral is "partial 16S ribosomal RNA". It matches the Rfam family "Bacterial small subunit ribosomal RNA", at positions 28 to 507 of the family's 1533-position model. The record is from RNAcentral.